CAGUAGCCGCGGGAAUACGGAGGGGGCUAGCGUUGUUCGGAAUUACUGGGCGUAAAGCGCACGUAGGCGGCUUUGUAAGUUAGAGGUGAAAGCCCGGAGCUCAACUCCGGAAUUGCCUUUAAGACUGCAGAGCUAGCAGGUGAGAGAGGUGAGUGGAAUUCCGAGUGUAGAGGUGAAAUUCGUAGAUAUUCGGAAGAACACCAGUGGCGAAGGCGGCUCACUGGCUCAUACUGGACGCUGAGGUGCGAAAGCGUGGGGAGCAAACAGGAUUAGAUACCCCCGUAGUCCCUGUCUCUUAUAC
RNAcentral lists this ribosomal RNA (301 nucleotides) under uncultured bacterium. RNAcentral's name for it is "partial 16S ribosomal RNA". It matches the Rfam family "Bacterial small subunit ribosomal RNA", at positions 509 to 807 of the family's 1533-position model. The record is from RNAcentral.